RNAcentral lists this ribosomal RNA (478 nucleotides) under uncultured Planctomycetia bacterium. RNAcentral's name for it is "bacterial SSU rRNA". It matches the Rfam family "Bacterial small subunit ribosomal RNA", at positions 9 to 502 of the family's 1533-position model. Lineage: Bacteria; Pseudomonadati; Planctomycetota; Planctomycetia. The record is from RNAcentral.
GAGUUUGAUCGUGGCUCAGAAUGAACGUUGGCGGCGUGGAUUAGGCAUGCAAGUCGAGCGAGAACCCAGCAAUGGGGGACAGCGGCGAAAGGGACAGUAAUGUGUAGAUCAUCUGCCCUCAGGCCCGGGAUAGCUGCGGGAAACUGCAGGUAAUACCGGAUAACAUCUCCGGAUCAAAGGUGUGAUUCCGCCUGAGGAUGAGUCUACAUCCUAUUAGCUAGUUGGUAGGGUAACGGCCUACCAAGGCUUUGAUGGGUAGCGGGUGUGAGAGCACGACCCGCGUCAUUGGGACUGAGACACUGCCCAGACACCUACGGGUGGCUGCAGUCGAGAAUCUUCGGCAAUGGGCGCAAGCCUGACCGAGCGACGCCGCGUGCGGGAUGAAGGCCUUCGGUUGUAACCGACUGUCAGAGGGAGUGAAAUGCGGGUGGGUUCGUCCAUCCGUUUGACAUAGCCUCAGAGGAAGGACGGGCGUAAG